UCUUUUUAUUCCUCUGUCUCUUCCCCGCGCCGCUCGAUCCCCUUUUCAUUUCGAACACGUAACCCAGAAGGCAACUGAGACUCUGAGAGAGAUAUCCAUGGCGAUUUGGAGCCCCCCCUCGCCGCUCGUUGGUUGGUGGUGACUCGUCGGCGCUCUCCCACCUGCUGCCCCGCUCCCUCCGCCUCGUCGUUGUUUCUCCAGCCCAAGGCCUGCAGCAUCUCUCCGCCCCGCAUCCACCUUGGCACCAUUAUUUCGCCGCUCGUCGGUUUUGUUCGAUUCGGUGUGAAAACAGAGUCGCCUGAAGCCGAUGACCGAGGAGAUGACAGUCAAUUUGAUGGUUUACAGAGAGGUGUAGCCUUGAGUGUGGUGUGGUAGGCUGACUGCUGUACCCACGCGACAGGGUGUGUGUGUGCUCUGUAUUUUUUAGCAUGUCAUGCCGUGUGUGAGAGGGUGUUUUGGAUAGUUUUGCCUGAUAAUGUUAGUUAGUUUUUUUUUUGUAGUUUUUGUGUAAUUUAUUUGUUAGGCACUUUAGUUAUUCAGUUGUAAUAUAAUUCUAAACAAACAUAUGGUAAAUGUUACAGCUAUAUAGCUGUUAGAAAUUUAUGCAUAUGCAUAAAGUUCUUUGCGCUUUUACGGCAGUAGUUUUGUAUUUUUAUGAUUUAGUUCAUGUAUUUUUUUGUAUUUGUCUGGCUGAUCUUUGUACGGAUCUGCCUUUGGUGUAUGUAAAUAUUCUUUUUUUGUAUUGUUUUACCUUUCUGCCAUUUCUUCUUAGCAUUUGUUCCUUUCUAUGUGUUUUUAUAUAUUUUGGAAAUAGAUUAAAGUAUGGGUAGAAUCAUGAAGGGUCUUGGUAAGGGCUUUUCUUCUGCUUGCUUAGAAGAGUCUGAUGAUUUGGAUGGGGAUCCUUUUGUCCCCAAUGAUUUCGCCGAGGACGAUUCUUUCCAAGCUUCAGAGGAAGGUUCAAUGGAUGAUCCUGAUUUUGACAAAGCUUUAAAGCGAAUUGCCUGAAACGGAAGAUAACAGAUGUUGGAGCUCGCAAUGUGGUAUUUAUGUUUCUUUGUUCUAUUCGCAUUUUCUGUACCCAACUACCACUCUGAUAGAGAUAGAUAUAAGUUUGAUAUAGAUUUAAAUUUGUUUUUUCCCCUUUGUUUGAUGUUUCUGCUAGAUGUUUUUUCAUUGUUGAUCUAGUGUAUUUGUAUCCUGAUUCCUUUUUUUGUUUCGUGUUUCUUGUUCUAUUGUAGAAGCGCACGAGGUCUUCUGAUUUUCCUGUAGCAAAUACAUUCGCUAGAUACUCUAGCAAGUUGUUCUCCACUGUUAUUGUCGGCUUGUCUCCUCGGCAAGUACGUGUUCUUCAGAGAUAUGGGGCAGAUUGCCUUCUCAAAUUUGUGAGGACAGAGGUGCCACUUAGGUUUGUCAAAUGGCUAGCAUCCAAAUUUGAUGUUCGUGCUUCAGUGAUUCAGAUUAGGAAAACGUUUAUUCCGAUUUGCGAAUAUGUCACCCAUGAUAUAUUAGGUCUUCCUGUUGACGGUGAGCCUAUUGUGUCUGAUGCUGAUGCUGGUUGUGAGUUUAUCUUGUCUCAUUUCAAUGUGACUAGCAUCCCACCAGUUUCAUUCUUCUGCAAUAAACUAAAAUCUACCUCUGAAGAAUUGCCCGAUGAAGACAUUUUCAUCUGCUUCAUGUGCAUUGCCUUGUCCACCUUCUUGUGUCCAAAUCCAAUAUUAGUACUCUGUAAUUCUGGAGUUUUUACUGUAAUCCAUGAUGGUUUUCAGUGUAACUAUUAGUUGAUUUUGCUCUGUAAUGCCUAGUGGAAUUACAGUGUACUUUAAUAGGCUUUACAUAGUAAAUCUUGGUGGAUUUACAGUGUAAUUUUACACAGAAUCCUAGUGGAUUUUUAGUGUACUUUUAGUUUAUUUUACAUGUUUUUUCUUAGUGGUAUUGCAGACAUUUUGUUUAGUGGUUUUUGCUGUGUAAUUCUUAGUCGAAUUUUAGUAUUUUUCUCAGUGGAUUUUUUAAUGUUAUUUAAGUGGUAUUUUUACAGUGUAUUUUCCAAGUGGUA
RNA transcript from Aegilops tauschii subsp. strangulata, 2053 nucleotides. RefSeq lists it as uncharacterized. The record is from RefSeq and is a predicted model, not a curated record. NCBI's taxonomy places the organism in Eukaryota, Viridiplantae, Streptophyta, Magnoliopsida, Poales, Poaceae.